Molecule: ribosomal RNA, 235 nt
Filed under: uncultured bacterium
Lineage: Bacteria
Description: partial 16S ribosomal RNA
Rfam family: Bacterial small subunit ribosomal RNA
Source: RNAcentral
CGAACGGGUGAGUAACACGUGAGGAACCUGCCCCGAAGACCGGGAUAACAGCGGGAAACCGCUGCUAAUACUGGAUGUCCCCACCGGACCGCAUGAUCUGGUGAGGAAAUGGAUUCCGCUUCGGGAGGGCCUCGCGGCCUAUCAGCUUGUUGGUGGGGUAACGGCCUACCAAGGCAACGACGGGUAGCUGGUCUGAGAGGACGAUCAGCCACACUGGGACUGAGACACGGCCCAG